GACGAACGCUGGCGGCGUGCCUAAUACAUGCAAGUAGAACGCUGAAGGAGAAGAUUGCUUCUCUGGAUGAAUUAAGCACAGAUGAAUAAAGCGUAGGUCACCUGCAUGGUAGCGGGGGAUAACUAUUGGAAACGAUAGCUAAUACCGCAUAAGAGUAGAUGUUGCAUGACAUUUGCUUAAAAGGUGCAAUUGCAUCACUACCAGAUGGACCUGCGUUGUAUUAGCUAGUUGGUGAGGUAACGGCUCACCAAGGCAACGAUACAUAGCCGACCUGAGACUGGGUGCGUCCACACUGGGACUGAGACACGGCCCAGACUCCUACGGGAGGCAGCAGUAGGGAAUCUUCGGCAAUGGACGGAAGUCUGACCGAGCAACGCCGCGUGAGUGAAGAAGGUUUUCGGAUCGUAAAGCCCUGUUGUAAGAGAAGUACGAGUGUGAGAGUGGAAAGUUCACACUGUGACGGUAUCUUACCAGAAAGGGACGGCUAACUACGUG
RNAcentral lists this ribosomal RNA (495 nucleotides) under uncultured bacterium. RNAcentral's name for it is "partial 16S ribosomal RNA". It matches the Rfam family "Bacterial small subunit ribosomal RNA", at positions 28 to 507 of the family's 1533-position model. The record is from RNAcentral.